GGCGGGGCUGGGCGAGAAUGUGGCCGUGUGGGGCGAGGACCUGGGAGUUGGUGUCCGACGCCGCCCCAGGCUCAGGCUUCCAGGACCUCCCGCCCGGGCCCAGUUUGCCAGCCAUCAAGAGGAAAUGGAUCCUGGCUUUGUUUCUCCAAAAUCCUUGAAAGAGGCUGGGGGAAGGGUCGGGACCGUCCCAACCCACCUCAUCCCUCAGCCUAGGCUGGACCCCCUCCCUAAACCAGCGGCUUUUCACCCCGCCCUCCACAAUCCCACGAGGGGCUUCCCUGGGGUGAAAUUAGGCUGCUUCCCGGGAAUUUCCUCCCCCAUGCUGUCCACGGCCACUAGGGACUACAAAACCUAGGGAGCUCUGCCUGCUUUCAAGGCCCCAUUCCCAAGGCUGUGCUCAACAGUGACGCUUCUAUUUUAUUAUCAGUUAUUGCUGUUAAUCUCUUACUGUGCCUAACAAAUUAAACUUUAUCGCAGGCCUUUUCUACCUAUAAAACCCACCUCCUCUGCCCAGCUCAUUGGAGUACCGUUUCUAAAUUUUUAGAGAAGAUGCCAUCCUGAUUCGUGAAUCAAUAAAAGCCAAUAGAUCUUUAA
Non-coding RNA from Macaca mulatta (Rhesus monkey), 594 nucleotides. NCBI's taxonomy places the organism in Eukaryota, Metazoa, Chordata, Mammalia, Primates, Cercopithecidae. The record is from RefSeq and is a predicted model, not a curated record.